UACGGAGGGGGCUAGCGUUGUUCGGAAUUACUGGGCGUAAAGCGCGCGUAGGCGGCUUUGUAAGUUAGAGGUGAAAGCCCGGAGCUCAACUCCGGAAUUGCCUUUAAGACUGCAUCGCUAGAAUUGUGGAGAGGUAAGUGGAAUUCCGAGUGUAGAGGUGAAAUUCGUAGAUAUUCGGAAGAACACCAGUGGCGAAGGCGACUUACUGGACACAUAUUGACGCUGAGGUGCGAAAGCGUGGGGAGCAAACAGG
RNAcentral lists this ribosomal RNA (253 nucleotides) under uncultured bacterium. RNAcentral's name for it is "partial 16S ribosomal RNA". It matches the Rfam family "Bacterial small subunit ribosomal RNA", at positions 524 to 776 of the family's 1533-position model. The record is from RNAcentral.